CUUUUUCAUUUGCAAAUGGAUGUGGGGAUUAAUGCUCUCUUAGCCAAGGACAUGCCUAAGGUGGUGCCUUUGAGACAUUUCCUGAAAUGUGCAUUUGAAGGAAUCUCCUCCAAGCAAGAAAAUGUUACUCUUUGGUUAAGCCAAAGAAAGAGAUACCUUUCUUUGUAUCUCUAUCACAAGAACAGUCAAUUCAUCCAAAUCUUCCCUUUCCUCCAUUCUAAGAAACAGAUUCCGAGAUGACACUAGCCCCAGACAUUUAAAAUUGUGCCACUGUAGCCAUGUGCAGCGGUGCAAAGAGGGAAGGAAGUCCCACCCCCAUCUGUGUUAAUCACCCUUGUGCUCCGCCACUCAUGCUUACAGUGGGACUGUCUGAAGCGGGAAGAGUCCUAUGUGUGAUGGUGUGUGCUUCCCUGAUCACAAGGCUGGAUAGAUCAUCUGAAUGGGGCUACUGUGCUUCAUUAAAACCACUUGGGAAGAGG
Long non-coding RNA from Hemicordylus capensis (graceful crag lizard), 479 nucleotides. RefSeq lists it as uncharacterized. The record is from RefSeq and is a predicted model, not a curated record. NCBI's taxonomy places the organism in Eukaryota, Metazoa, Chordata, Lepidosauria, Squamata, Cordylidae. The transcript has 2 exons.